Molecule: ribosomal RNA, 489 nt
Filed under: uncultured bacterium
Lineage: Bacteria
Description: partial 16S ribosomal RNA
Rfam family: Bacterial small subunit ribosomal RNA
Source: RNAcentral
GACGAACGCUGGCGGCGUGCUUAACACAUGCAAGUCGAACGGAAAGGCCCCCAUCUUGGUGGGGGUGCUCGAGUGGCGAACGGGUGAGUAACACGUGGGUGAUCUGCCCUGUACUUCGGGAUAAGCUUGGGAAACUGGGUCUAAUACCGGAUAGGACCAUGGUUUAGUGUCUCAUGGUGGAAAGAUUAUUGUUUUGGUGCAGGAUGAGCUCGCGGCCUAUCAGCUUGUUGGUGGGGUAAUGGCCUACCAAGGCGUCGACGGGUAGCCGGCCUGAGAGGGUGGACGGCCACAUUGGGACUGAGGUACGGCCCAGACUCCUACGGGAGGCAGCAGUGGGGAAUAGUGCACAAUGGGCGCAAGCCUGAUGCAGCGACGCCGCGUGGGGGAUGACGGCCUUCGGGUUGUAAACUCCUUUCGUUAGGGACGAAGCCGCACUUUUUUUGGGUGUGGUGACGGUACCUUUGUUAAGAAGCACCGGCUAACUACGUG